UGCCAACAACAAAUCCCAAUAUGUCUAUACUAUAUCUGAGUGAUAAAAGUUGGGAUGAUCAUGGCUGGAAUGCCGUAGGUCAUAUGUCUAAAUGGUCUGGGUUGAACUGGUGCAAAAGAAUUACAACGGCAAUAACAACUACAGCAUUCUAUGAAAGAGAGAAACAUGAGAGUGGUUCAUCAUGACCUCCUCCAGAUAGACAUGAAAUAUAAAAUUCUGAGAGAGGAGAGUAAGAGUUAAUGGAUGUUUCAAUGUUCAUAGCUUACCCCCAAAGGUAUUAAGCAAAUCUAUCUGACACUAACACCACGAUGGAUUCAGACAGGAAAUUGAAACUUUAUCAUCAUCUGGAAGAAAGGAAAAAAGAAGCCACACAGACACACUCAGAUGAACGGGAAAACACACACCCACAUUGUGUGCAUGUACGCACACAGUAUGUAUAUGUUGCUUUGAGGCAGAUUCAUCUCUGAGUUGCUGAAACAGAAUUAUCAAUAUAACAAAUACUACAGAUUGGCUUCAGGUCAUGGAACCAUGUAAAGACUUUCCUGUGAUUGUUUGUCAGAUUGGAUUAGAUUGGAAUGGUUUAUUCAGCUGUUGGCUAUGAAUAACAAGAGUCCAGAAUAACAAGGCACAAGUAAAGAGAGCAAAUUCAUUCACACAGAAAUUCAUUUCCUGUAGUAAACCCUUCAACAGUUACAUAACACUUUGAAU
Long non-coding RNA from Octopus bimaculoides (California two-spot octopus), 708 nucleotides. RefSeq lists it as uncharacterized. NCBI's taxonomy places the organism in Eukaryota, Metazoa, Mollusca, Cephalopoda, Octopoda, Octopodidae. The record is from RefSeq and is a predicted model, not a curated record.